CCGCCUUCGCCACCGGUAUUCCUCCAGAUCUCUACGCAUUUCACCGCUACACCUGGAAUUCUACCCCCCUCUACAAGACUCAAGCUUGCCAGUUUCAAAUGCAGUUCCCAGGUUGAGCCCGGGGAUUUCACAUCUGACUUAACAAACCGCCUGCGUGCGCUUUACGCCCAGUAAUUCCGAUUAACGCUUGCACCCUCCGUAUUACCGCGGCUGCUGGCACGGAGUUAGCCGGUGCUUCUUCUGCGAGUAACGUCAAUCGCUAAGGUUAUUAACCUUAACGCCUUCCUCCUCGCUGAAAGUACUUUACAACCCGAAGGCCUUCUUCAUACACGCGGCAUGGCUGCAUCAGGCUUGCGCCCAUUGUGCAAUAUUCCCCACUGCUGCCUCCCGUAGGAGUCUGGACCGUGUCUCAGUUCCAGUGUGGCUGGUCAUCCUCUCAGACCAGCUAGGGAUCGUCGCCUAGGUGAGCCAUUACCCCACCUACUAGCUAAUCCCAUCUGGGCACAUCUGAUGGCAUGAGGCCCGAAGGUCCCCCACUUUGGUCUUGCGACGUUAUGCGGUAUUAGCUACCGUUUCCAGUAGUUAUCCCCCUCCAUCAGGCAGUUUCCCAGACAUUACUCACCCGUCCGCCGCUCGUCACCCGAGAGCAAGCUCUCUGUGCUACCGCUCGA
This 671-nucleotide ribosomal RNA is filed under the name Klebsiella planticola. RNAcentral's name for it is "Raoultella planticola partial 16S rRNA". Lineage: Bacteria; Pseudomonadati; Pseudomonadota; Gammaproteobacteria; Enterobacterales; Enterobacteriaceae. The record is from RNAcentral.